Molecule: unclassified non-coding RNA, 334 nt
Filed under: soil metagenome
Description: partial contains 5.8S ribosomal RNA, internal transcribed spacer 2, and large subunit ribosomal RNA
Rfam family: 5.8S ribosomal RNA (bases 1-120)
Source: RNAcentral
GAUGAAGAACGUAGCGAAAUGCGAUAAGUAAUGUGAAUUGCAGAAUUCAGUGAAUCAUCGAAUCUUUGAACGCACAUUGCGCCCGCCAGUAUUCUGGCGGGCAUGCCUGUUCGAGCGUCAUUUCAACCAUCAAGCCCUGCUUGCGUUGGGGUCCUGCGGCUGCCCGCAGGCCCUGAAAACCAGUGGCGGGCUCGCUAGUCACACCGAGCGCAGUAAUACAUCUCGCUUUGGGCGUGCGGCGGGUUCUUGCCGUUAAACACCCCCUUUUUACCAAGGUUGACCUCGGAUCAGGUAGGAAUACCCGCUGAACUUAAGCAUAUCAAUAAGCGGAGGA